Non-coding RNA from Cygnus atratus (black swan), 1423 nucleotides. The record is from the annotation of a RefSeq genome assembly. Lineage: Eukaryota; Metazoa; Chordata; Aves; Anseriformes; Anatidae.
AUGCACCGCGGGUAUCUCGUCCCUCACUGCCUUCCUGGGGCAACUGCUGGAAACCAUGGGACAGGUGUCCGUCACCCAGCAAGAAGGACAAGUCACCGUGGAGCAGGGAAACACCUUCCAGACCAAUUGCACGUACCAGAGCUCCAGCUUUUAUGGUUUGCUCUGGUACCAGCAGAAGAAGGGACAAGCCCCUCAGCUGAUUUCUUCUCAAGCAGGAAAGGGCACCAAGCAGAAGGACCGUUUCACCACGGAGCUGAACACUGAUGGGAAACACAGUGUUCUGCGGCUGAAGGAAGUUGAGCUCUCUGACAGCGCCUUGUACCUCUGUGCUGUGAGUGACACCCUGGUGCAGGGAGCUGCCCUGGCUGAGCAACAACCCCGGAUGGGGAGGGGAUGUGUCUGUGCAAGGCAGAGCUCUGGGAUGGGGCCCUCAGCUCUCCCCUGGCUGCGCUGCUUCCCCUGUGCACUCCCAGAUCUGACAGCCAGAUCCUCUUUCCCAAAGGGGCUGGUGUCUGUGGCUGUGCAGAGAGGGCUGACCCUGACUGGCUGACCUGGACCGCAGGGCUCUACUUUCCUCCCUUCGCGGUCUGACAGAAUAGGGCAGAGCCUGCUGGGAAGCAGGACUCCCCUGGGGGAUUGCUCUCAGCCCCUCAGCCCCAGGGUGAGUAAAUUCCUGCCAGCCCAUGAUAAAGCAGCUUGCUUUGAGCCCUGGUCAGCCCAGCCCAGAGACCCCUAGAAGUAGUCCUGACAGAGAUUUGCAGGGUUCUUCUCUCUCUUCAAUGAGUCAGUCAAUAAACUGGAUUUGCAUCCCAGCCACCAGGUUUUCUCCAGACCUUCAGCCAGUUCGUGUCCAAAGCCUGUGCCUAAGGGACAGAACAAAUAGAGCAGCCCUUAGUGCCAAAGGCCCAAGAGCUCUCCAUGUUCAUCACAGUAAGCAAUCAGAGCAAGAGAUAAAUGAAGACCUACAGCCCACUGAGUUUGUUGACGUCUCCUCAGGGGAGCUGGAGGCAUGUGUGAUCAUCCUCAGCCCCUGCACAGGGAGCAGUGUCAUAAUGACCAGCUCCUGCGGCAGUGGGGCAUUGCAUGUCUGGGACAAGCUGGGUGUCCUGCAGGCUGCAAAUGCCGAGACCUGGCAGGAGAAACGAGACUGUGCUGAUGAAGCUUCCUCCAUCUCACAAAGCAUGCUCAAUGUGGUGUUUUGAUGUCCUCAGACUUGAGGAAACUCUUUUGUCUGCUUGCAAGAGCAAGAAGCAAAGCAACCCGGAGAAAGAAAAGCUUGGCCCAGGCAGCUCCCAGCAGGGGGCAGCCAUGGGCCCUCUUUCCUCCGUGCUCUCGGGGAAGGCAGCACCAGGCUCAGCCUUGUCUCAGCAGGGGUCUGAUCUACCCCCGGGAUCAUUGCCCCAAGGAUUCUCUGGACACAUUG